RNAcentral lists this ribosomal RNA (253 nucleotides) under uncultured bacterium. RNAcentral's name for it is "partial 16S ribosomal RNA". It matches the Rfam family "Bacterial small subunit ribosomal RNA", at positions 524 to 776 of the family's 1533-position model. The record is from RNAcentral.
UACGGGGGGAGCAAGCGUUGUUCGGAUUUACUGGGCGUAAAGGGCGCGUAGGCGGUCAAUUAAGUCUGAUGUGAAAGCCCCCGGCUCAACCGGGGAGGGUCAUUGGAAACUGAUUGACUUGAGUACUGGAGAGAAGAGUGGAAUUCCACGUGUAGCGGUGAAAUGCGUAGAGAUGUGGAGGAACACCAGUGGCGAAGGCGACUCUUUGGCCAGAAACUGACGCUGAGGCGCGAAAGCGUGGGGAGCAAACAGG